AAUCAACGCUGGCGGCGCGCUUAACACAUGCAAGUCGAACGAGAAAGCAUCCUUCGGGGUGUGAGUACAGUGGCGCACGGGUGAGUAACACGUGGGUAAUCUGCCCUUCGGUGGGGAAUAACUCCGCGAAAGUGGAGCUAAUACCGCAUACGAUCUUCGGAUGAAAGGCUUUGGUCGCCGAAGGAGGAGCCCGCGGUCGAUUAGCUUGUUGGUGAGGUAACGGCUCACCAAGGCUUCGAUCGAUAGCCGGCCUGAGAGGGCACACGGCCACACUGGCACUGAGACACGGGCCAGACUCCUACGGGAGGCAGCAGUGAGGAAUCUUGCACAAUGGGGGAAACCCUGAUGCAGCGACGCCGCGUGAGUGAUGAAGCCUUUCGGGGUGUAAAGCUCUUUCAGUGGGAACGAUAAUGACGGUACCCACAGAAGAAGGUGCGGCUAACUACG
This 447-nucleotide ribosomal RNA is filed under the name uncultured Bryobacterales bacterium. Its description in RNAcentral is "bacterial SSU rRNA". It matches the Rfam family "Bacterial small subunit ribosomal RNA", at positions 32 to 505 of the family's 1533-position model. The record is from RNAcentral. Lineage: Bacteria; Pseudomonadati; Acidobacteriota; Terriglobia; Bryobacterales.